This 585-nucleotide ribosomal RNA is filed under the name uncultured eukaryote. Its description in RNAcentral is "eukaryotic LSU rRNA". The stretch from base 191 to 344 matches the Rfam family "5.8S ribosomal RNA". The record is from RNAcentral.
AAAAGUCGUAACAAGGUCUCCGUUGGUGAACCAGCGGAGGGAUCAUUAUCGAGUUAUUCAACUCCCAAACCCUAUGUGAACUUACCACUUGUUGCUUCGGCGCGCGCUUCGGCGCCGCCGAGGACACUUAAACUCUUUGUUUUUAUAAGCAUUUCUGAGUGGCCGAAAGGCAAAAAUACAAAUGAAUCAAAACUUUCAACAACGGAUCUCUUGGUUCUGGCAUCAAUGAAGAACGCAGCGAAAUGCGAUAAGUAAUGUGAAUUGCAGAAUUCAGUGAAUCAUCGAAUCUUUGAACGCACAUUGCGCCCGCCAGCAUUCUGGCGGGCAUGCCUGUUCGAGCGUCAUUUCAACCCUCGAGCCCGACUCUUUUGAGGACGGCUCGGCGUUGGGGGACGGCAGACUCCCCCCGGCAUCUCGCCGGGGACGCCGCCCCCGAAAUCUAGUGGCGGCCCUCCGAGGCGACCUCUGCGUAGUAACUUGUUCUCGCACCGGAAAGCUCAGAGCGGCCACGCCGUAAAACCCCAACUUUUUUCAGGUUGACCUCGAAUCAGGUAGGACUACCCGCUGAACUUAAGCAUAUCAAUA